UACGAAGGGGGCUAGCGUUGCUCGGAAUUACUGGGCGUAAAGGGAGCGUAGGCGGACAUUUAAGUCAGGGGUGAAAUCCCGAGGCUCAACCUCGGAACUGCCUUUGAUACUGGGUGUCUUGAGUAUGAGAGAGGUAUGUGGAACUCCGAGUGUAGAGGUGAAAUUCGUAGAUAUUCGGAAGAACACCAGUGGCGAAGGCGACAUACUGGCUCAUUACUGACGCUGAGGCUCGAAAGCGUGGGGAGCGAACAGG
Molecule: ribosomal RNA, 253 nt
Filed under: uncultured bacterium
Lineage: Bacteria
Description: partial 16S ribosomal RNA
Rfam family: Bacterial small subunit ribosomal RNA
Source: RNAcentral